AUGGUGAAGCGCAGCCCGCUGCCGCCCCCGCCGUUGGAGAUGAGGCCGUGGAGGCUCCUGCUCCGCCCGGCGUCCUCGGACGAGGGGGACGACACGGGGGAAGGGGACGCCGGGGUGGCGUUCCCCCUGGGCUUGAUCUUGAUUAUGGGGUUGGGGCUGGCGUCGGGCACCCCGCCGCCGGCGAGGUCGUGGAGGAGCGGGAAGAAGGGCCACUUGGGGCCCUUGGAGCGCCCCAUGGAGCGCGUGCGCUCGGCGCGGUACCGCUUCCGGAGCUUCUCGAUCUUGUGGCGGCACUGGACGCCGGAUUUGUAGGUGGCGGUGGGGAACCUCCCGCAGCGGGCGGUGACGGCGCCGGCGACCUCGUCCCAGUCCGCCGCCCGCAGGUUGCCCUUCUUGAGCGCCUCCCACUUGUCGCGGUACGCCUCGAUGAGCGCGAGGGUCUCCUCGUGCGUCCAGCACGGCGGGGGCAGCCUCCUCCCGGAGCCGCCGCCCGCCCCCACCCCGCCCCCUCCGCCCCCGGACGAGGCCGCGGCCGCGGCCGCGGCGGCCGCCGCCGCGAUGCCGGGCGCGGCCAGCGGGGGGAGCUCCGGGGAGGAAGGGACGUCGUCCUGCUUGAGAGACGAGGAGGAGGACAUGGUCGCAGCACGG
Molecule: ribosomal RNA, 648 nt
Filed under: Triticum aestivum (bread wheat)
Lineage: Eukaryota; Viridiplantae; Streptophyta; Magnoliopsida; Poales; Poaceae
Description: partial small subunit ribosomal RNA
Source: RNAcentral